CGCGAGACACGCGACGCUGCCCCGCGUCUGCGCAUGCGCAGUUCUGACCCAAACAUGGCGACGGAGAGCUGCGAAAAGUGCUGAAUUCUGUCUACAUUUCGACAAAAUCGCGAAGAUCUCUGCAGGACGUUCAUACAGCAGCCGAUGCUCAACAUGGUCCGAACGGCACUGAAAGAUCACAAGGACAGUAAGAAGGACAAAGCGGGCCGGAGCAUGUCUCUCACAGGUCCUGGACCGGUCAAAGUGACCGAGUCGUUCUCAUGGGACGCGUAUUUAACAGAGUCGUCGUCCGUUCCCGCUCUUCCCAGCUGCUUCAGACAGGUGAGACCGGCAGUCAAAUCCCGUCAGGACUCGUCUCUGAGGAAUGAUGGGAUGGCCAUGUUUUUAACUUUUCAUGUGUUCUGUGAAUAAAAAUCACAUUAACCCUUUAAAGCCUACUGUAUCAUAUUUGAUUACAUUUCUAAGGCUCUAAAUGAUCAUCAUGAUCAAACUCUGCUGUCGCACAUAAUCUCCUGCAUGCCUUCUGUCUCUGAUUGAGAGUUUUGAGUUUUUUAUCCAGUCAGAGCUCUCUUUUAGUGUAACUGUUGCUGGAGCUUCACG
Molecule: long non-coding RNA, 600 nt
Filed under: Sinocyclocheilus grahami
Lineage: Eukaryota; Metazoa; Chordata; Actinopteri; Cypriniformes; Cyprinidae
Description: lncRNA (ENSSGRG00000032463.1)
Source: RNAcentral